GUUUAUCAAAAACAUAGCUUCUCGAAAUUAUAAGAAGUUACGUCUGCCCGGUGACCUAGUUUAACGGCCGCGUAAGUGCUAAGGUAGCAUAAUCAUUUGCCUUUUUAUUGGAGGCUAGUAUGAAUGGACUAACGAAGCUUAACUGUCUCUAGUUAUUAAUGUUAAAUUGAUUUAAAGGUGAAAAAUCCUUUAUUUUAGUGAAGGACGAGAAGACCCUAUAGAGUUUUAGUGCAAUUUUAUUAAAAAUCAUAAAUAAGAUACACUUUUAUUGGGGCAAUAAAAGAACAAUAAAACUCUUGUUUAAAUUUAUUUAUCCUCAAAGAGAAAAAAGAAAAACUACCUUAGGGAUAACAGCGUUAUCCUCCCAGAGAGAUCUAAUCGAAGGGAGGGUUUGCGACCUCGAUGUUGGACUAAGGAACCCCCUAAGUGCAGAAGCUUAGUUGGCAGGCCUGUUCGGCCUUUAAUACCUUACAUGAUCUGAGUUCA
RNAcentral lists this ribosomal RNA (486 nucleotides) under Bugulina turbinata. Its description in RNAcentral is "partial large subunit ribosomal RNA". It matches the Rfam family "Bacterial large subunit ribosomal RNA", at positions 1802 to 2613 of the family's 2925-position model. Lineage: Eukaryota; Metazoa; Bryozoa; Gymnolaemata; Cheilostomatida; Bugulidae. The record is from RNAcentral.